Molecule: transfer RNA, 73 nt
Filed under: Trichonephila clavata
Lineage: Eukaryota; Metazoa; Arthropoda; Arachnida; Araneae; Nephilidae
Rfam family: tRNA
About the family: Transfer RNA (tRNA) molecules are approximately 80 nucleotides in length.
Source: Rfam by way of RNAcentral
GCCCUCGUGGCCUAAUGGAUAAGGCAUCGGUCUCCUAAACCGAGGAUUGCGGUUUCUAAUCAGGCCGAGGGUA